This 1167-nucleotide ribosomal RNA is filed under the name cyanobacterium BACL30 MAG-120619-bin27. RNAcentral's name for it is "bacterial LSU rRNA". It matches the Rfam family "Bacterial large subunit ribosomal RNA", at positions 1 to 1190 of the family's 2925-position model. The record is from RNAcentral. Lineage: Bacteria; Bacillati; Cyanobacteriota.
UUGGUCAAGCUACAAAGGGCUCACGGUGGAUACCUUGGCACACAGAGGCGAUGAAGGACGUGGUUACCUGCGAUAAGUCUCGGGGAGCUGGAAACACGCUUUGAUCCGGGAAUUUCCGAAUGGGGCAACCCUUAGAACGGCCGCCUGAAUCCAUAGGGCGGCACGAGCCAACCCAGCGAACUGAAACAUCUUAGUAGCUGGAGGAAAGGAAAGUAAAAACGACUCCCUAAGUAGCGGCGAGCGAACGGGGAAGAGCCUAAACCGAUGCUUCCGAGCAUCGGGGUUGUGGGACAGCAACGUGGACCAACGGAGUUAGAAGAAGCGUUUGAAUGGCGCGCCACAGAGGGUGAAAGCCCCGUAUUCGAAAACAAAGUUGGCCUAGCUGUAUCCCGAGUAGCACGGAGCACGUGAAAUUCCGUGUGAAUCUGCGAGGACCACCUCGUAAGGCUAAGUACUCCUGUGUGACCGAUAGCGAAACAGUACCGCGAGGGAAAGGUGAAAAGAACCCCGGGAGGGGAGUGAAAUAGAACAUGAAACCGUGAGCUUACAAGCAAUGGGAGCCCGACUAAUCGGGUGACCGUGUGCCUGUUGAAGAAUGAGCCGGCGACUUAUAGGCACUGGCAGGUUAAACCGGGAAUGGUGGAGCCAUAGCGAAAGCGAGUCUGAAUAGGGCGAUCGUCAGUGUUUAUAGACCCGAACCCGGGUGAUCUAACCAUGGCCAGGAUGAAGCUUGGGUGAUACCAAGUGGAGGUCCGAACCGACUGAUGUUGAAAAAUCAGCGGAUGAGCUGUGGUUAGGGGUGAAAUGCCAAUCGAACCCGGAGCUAGCUGGUUCUCCCCGAAAUACGUUGAGGCGUAGCGUCUAGUGCUCCAGCAGGGGGGUAAAGCCACCGUUUCGGUGCGGGCUGCGAGAGCGGUACCAAAUCGAUACGAACUCUGAAUACCCUGUGUGUAACUAGGCAGUCAGACUGUGGGGGAUAAGCUCCAUGGUCGAAAGGGAAACAGCCCAGACCGCCAGCUAAGGUCCCCAAAUCAAUGCUGAGUGAUAAAGGAGGUGGGAUUGCCCAGACAACCAGGAGGUUUGCCUAGAAGCAGCCAUCCUCAAAGGAGUGCGUAAUAGCUCACUGGUCGAGCGAUCCUGCGCCGAAAAUGAACGGGGCUAAGCAUU